GCGAAAACUUUACAAUGCUGGCAACAGCGAUAAGGGAACCUCGAGUGCCAGGUUACAAAUCUGGCUGCCGAGAUGCCUAAAAAGCAUUUCAUAGCAAGGGCCGGGCAAGACCGGUGCCAGCCGCCGCGGUAACACCGGCGGCUCGAGUGGUAACCGUUAUUAUUGGGUCUAAAGGGUCUGUAGCCGGCCGGACAAGUCUCUUGAGAAAUCUGGCAGCUUAACUGUCAGGCUUUCAGGAGAUACUGUCUGGCUCGAGGCCGGGAGAGGUGAGAGGUACUUCAGGGGUAGGGGUGAAAUCUUGUAAUCCUUGAAGGACCACCAGUGGCGAAGGCGUCUCACCAGAACGGACCUGACGGCAAGGGACGAAAGCUAGGGGCACGAACC
RNAcentral lists this ribosomal RNA (384 nucleotides) under uncultured prokaryote. RNAcentral's name for it is "bacterial SSU rRNA". It matches the Rfam family "Archaeal small subunit ribosomal RNA", at positions 341 to 725 of the family's 1478-position model. The record is from RNAcentral.